Molecule: ribosomal RNA, 253 nt
Filed under: uncultured bacterium
Lineage: Bacteria
Description: partial 16S ribosomal RNA
Rfam family: Bacterial small subunit ribosomal RNA
Source: RNAcentral
UACGUAGGGUGCAAGCGUUAAUCGGAAUUACUGGGCGUAAAGCGUGCGCAGGCGGUUAUGUAAGACAGGUGUGAAAUCCCCGGGCUUAACCUGGGAACUGCAUUUGUGACUGCAUAGCUAGAGUACGGUAGAGCGGGAUGGAAUUCCGCGUGUAGCAGUGAAAUGCGUAGAUAUGCGGAGGAACACCGAUGGCGAAGGCAAUCCCCUGGACCUGUACUGACGCUCAUGCACGAAAGCGUGGGGAGCAAACAGG